GAUGAAGAACGUAGCGAAAUGCGAUACGUAAUGUGAAUUGCAGAUUUCAGUGAAUCAUCGAAUCUUUGAACGCACAUUGCGCCCGCCAGUAUUCUGGCGGGCAUGCCUGUUCGAGCGUCAUUUCAACCAUCAAGCGCCUCGCUUGUGUUGGGGCCCUGCGGCUGCCGCAGGCCCCUAAAUCCAGUGGCGGGCUCGUCGUCGUACCGAGUGCAGUAAACAUCCUCGCUCAGGGAACCCGACGGGUGCCGGCCGUGAAACCCCCCUCCUCAAGGUUGACCUCGGAUCAGGUAGGAAUACCCGCUGAACUUAAGCAUAUCAAUAAGCGGAGGA
RNAcentral lists this unclassified non-coding RNA (330 nucleotides) under soil metagenome. RNAcentral's name for it is "partial contains 5.8S ribosomal RNA, internal transcribed spacer 2, and large subunit ribosomal RNA". The stretch from base 1 to 120 matches the Rfam family "5.8S ribosomal RNA", at positions 35 to 154 of the family's 154-position model. The record is from RNAcentral.